UCUUCAUUCCUUCCUAUUCGUUGACCUUUUACAUGUCUUUAGAAUAUUAGAGACAUGUAAAAGGUCAACGAAUAGGAAGGAAUGAGGA
Molecule: microRNA precursor, 88 nt
Filed under: Xyrichtys novacula (pearly razorfish)
Lineage: Eukaryota; Metazoa; Chordata; Actinopteri; Labriformes; Labridae
Source: RNAcentral